This is a long non-coding RNA of Ipomoea nil (Japanese morning glory), 444 nucleotides long. RefSeq lists it as uncharacterized. The transcript is spliced from 3 exons. Lineage: Eukaryota; Viridiplantae; Streptophyta; Magnoliopsida; Solanales; Convolvulaceae. The record is from RefSeq and is a predicted model, not a curated record.
UCUUCUUUCGCUUAAAAAAUCCUAACUUGUUUGCUGUUGUUCUCGGAAUCAAGAUUGCAACGAUUCUUAAUUUGUAAGGCUUCAAGAUCUGAAAACGUAGAACUGGAAUUUCAGUGGUCAUCAGUGGAUCAACCCUAAUCUGCAAAACAGAACGACUACAGUACAGUGCUUAGCAGGCUCAAAAUAGCAGUGCAAGGAAAAAAAAUUAAACAAUAUCUCAUUUGUGUGCUAGGUACACUGUUUCGCAGGCUCAAAAUAGCAGUGUAAGGAAUAAAAUCGUACAAUACAUCAUUUGUGUGAUUGGGAGAUUGGAAAGUCUACCUAUUUGCAGACAGGUACAUUCUCUUCUUCAUAUCAUUUGUAAUAUGCAUACAUAACAUAAAUAAUCCUGUCUAUAUUUCACCUCUAUUUGCAGAGGUGUGUUUCCUCUUGCAGCACAUUGCA